UACGGAGGGUGCAAGCGUUGUUCGGAUUUACUGGGCAUAAAGAGCACGUAGGCGGCUCGCUUAGUCAGGUGUGAAAGCCCACGGCCCAACCGUGGAACUGCAUCUGAUACUGGCGAGCUUGAGGAUGGAAGGGGUGAGUGGAACUCCAGGUGGAACGGUGAAAUGUAUAGAUAUCUGGAGGAACACCGGUGGCGAAAGCGGCUCACUGGUCCAUUUCUGACGCUGAGGUGCGAAAGCUAGGGUAGCGAAC
Molecule: ribosomal RNA, 250 nt
Filed under: uncultured bacterium
Lineage: Bacteria
Description: partial 16S ribosomal RNA
Rfam family: Bacterial small subunit ribosomal RNA
Source: RNAcentral